CCUACGGGAGGCAGCAGUGGGGAAUAUUGGGCAAUGGGCGCGAGCCUGACCCAGCAAAGCCGCGUGAGGGAAGAAGGCUUUAGGGUUGUUAACUUCUUUUAAGAGGGAAGAGCAGAAGACGGUACCUCUUGAAUAAGCCACGACUAACUACGUGCGAGCAGCCGCGGUAAUACGUAGGGGGCAAGCGUUGUCCGGAUUUACUGGGUGUAACGGGCGUGCAGCCGGGAAGAAAAGUCAAAUGGGAAAUCCCGCGGCUCAACCGCGGAACUGCAUUUGAAACUGUUUUUCUUGAGUACCGGAGAGGUCAUCGGAAUUCCUUGUGUAGCGGUGAAAUGCGUAGAUAGAAGGAAGAACACCAGUGGCGAAGGCGGAUGACUGGACGGCAACUGACGGUGAGGCGCGAAAGCGUGGGGAGCAAACAGGAUUAGAUACCCGGGUAGUC
RNAcentral lists this ribosomal RNA (442 nucleotides) under uncultured bacterium. Its description in RNAcentral is "partial 16S ribosomal RNA". It matches the Rfam family "Bacterial small subunit ribosomal RNA", at positions 338 to 795 of the family's 1533-position model. The record is from RNAcentral.